Molecule: long non-coding RNA, 2061 nt
Organism: Bubalus bubalis (water buffalo)
Lineage: Eukaryota; Metazoa; Chordata; Mammalia; Artiodactyla; Bovidae
Exons: 3
Source: RefSeq, a predicted model, not a curated record
CCGCCAUGCGCGAAGGAGCCAAAGCAGGCGGUGAGGACCUGCAGGAAGUGGAAGAGCAGGUGCACCUCGGGAGGAAGGUGUUUGUAUACAAAGCUGGAUAAACUGAUAAUCUGAUCUCCGGCAGUUAGUUGACUGCGUGUGGAAGACACAGGUGAGGGGCCCAGAGGUGCUGCUGGGAGACUGCAGGUGAAUGGCUCUUGGAGGAAAGUCAUGGGACAGGAACAAGCCCGGUCUGGGACUGACCAAGCCCUGGGCCCUUCAGCCCCUGAGUUUUCUCUGGGGACACUUGUGUGCACUGGAGCCCCAUUGCCACAUGCAGGCCAACUGUCCCCCAAAACUGCCUCUGCCGCACGCCGCCCCAGCCCCCAGGGACUUACCAUAUGGGGCCCGGGGGUGGUGACCCCCCGACAUGCUCUCUGAGGUCCCCGAGGGCUCUGCAGCCGAGCCUGUGAGGGGGACGGUGCUGUCGUCUUGGGCCUUGGCACCUGGCAGCUCUUUAAAUACUGGGGACUCCACUUCCUGAAUUUUAUUGAGACUUUCAUCAGAGGCUCUCGAUAACGCACCUUCUUUUUGUAAUUUGCCUGAAGAAAAUAAGAGUCAUAACUGAAAAUUUGGGAAGAGAAUUCUUAUUUUUGACAAAUGAAUAUAAAAAUAAAUAUUUAUCGUGAUACUUUCAUACUUUGGGAACAAAAAAAAAAAAGGGAAAAUAAAGUGGACAAUUCAAUCUGGGAAACAGGCUAGAAAAUUCAGCUACGGAGGGAAAGAUGGAGGCUCAGCCCUGAGUUAUCUUAUCCAAAAGCAACAAAAAAGACAGGGUUAGAUCUGAUUCCCAAGGUAAACAUUCUGUAAAUGCUACAACCAUCUAGACCGGCCUUCUGUUUGCUUACGCUGACCUCAGAAUCGCUGAAAUGUUUACCCUUUUUGUCUUCAUAGAUAGUUAGGGUCUGUUUCUUUUCUUCUGUUCAAUAAGAGACUGCGCUCAGAUUUCCUCAGGUCACCAAGUCUUAGGAAACAAGUAAAUCAUUUUCCUCAAAAGGAACAAAGAGAUUCUGCUUUUAAAAAUCCUCUACUUUCAAAAGAAACUAGGGAUUUUCAAAAAGUGGUUUUGUAGCUGGAGUGCAUUCUUGGUAAUCAGAUCUGGUAUGUGGAUUCCUGGUCUUGCUGCCUCACACUUCCCUGAGGAAACAUCUAAGCUCUAACCUACCCAACUGACACGGACACGGUCUUCUCGGUUCCUCUGCCGGAUACACUCAUGCAUCACCCUGGUUUCUGUAUUUACCUAGAUAGAUCACUUCAGUCUCUGUUGUUGUUCAGUCACUCAGUUGUGUCCCGACUAUUUGUGAUCCCAUGGACUACAGCACGCCAGGCUUCCCUGUCUUUCACCAUCUCCCAGAGCUUGCUGAAACUCACGUCCACUGAGUCGAUGAUGCCAUCCAACCAUCUCGACCUCUGUCGUCCCCUUCUCUUCCUGCCCUCAAUCUUUAUACCUCUAUCUCUAUAUUUUCUAAAUCUAAAAGACAGAUUUUUUUAGAAAAACUAAGUUUGUUUACUACAAGGAACAAAUAAAGGUACACACAGGUUUCUGACCUCAAGCUGCUUACAAUGUAGAUGAGAAAAGUUAAUAUCUGUAAAGAUAAUAACAGAUUUUUUAAACUGUAUUUUUUUGGUUUGUUUUUUAUUGUAUUUUGGCCACAUUGUGCAGUUUGUCAGAUCUUAGCUCCCCAACCAGGGAUCAAACCUGGGCUUCUGCAGUGGAAGCAUGGAGUCUUAACCACUGAACCAUCAGGAAGUCCCCCCAAAAUGUGUUAACAUAUGAAACAGAUGUCAUGUAAAUGGAACCAUAAGACGUGCUUCUGAGGCUGGCUCCUCCGACGUGGCACGAUUAAUGCGCCUGAGGUUCAUCCAUGCUGCUGCAGGCUCAGCAGCCCCCUCGUCUUCACUGCCGAGCAGCAGUCUAAUAUGUGGAUGUAUUUAUUUCCAUAAAUACGUGUGUGUGUGUUCUGUGGAUAAUCCAGGCUUUUAGUUUUUGGUGAUAGCAAAUGCAGCUGCUACAAAUAUUCA